This 669-nucleotide ribosomal RNA is filed under the name Salmonella enterica subsp. enterica serovar Newport. RNAcentral's name for it is "partial 23S ribosomal RNA". It matches the Rfam family "Bacterial large subunit ribosomal RNA", at positions 522 to 1190 of the family's 2925-position model. The record is from RNAcentral. Lineage: Bacteria; Pseudomonadati; Pseudomonadota; Gammaproteobacteria; Enterobacterales; Enterobacteriaceae.
AACCCCGGCGAGGGGAGUGAAAAAGAACCUGAAACCGUGUACGUACAAGCAGUGGGAGCACAGGUUUACCUGUGUGACUGCGUACCUUUUGUAUAAUGGGUCAGCGACUUAUAUUCUGUAGCAAGGUUAACCGUAUAGGGGAGCCGAAGGGAAACCGAGUCUUAACCGGGCGUUAAGUUGCAGGGUAUAGACCCGAAACCCGGUGAUCUAGCCAUGGGCAGGUUGAAGGUUGGGUAACACUAACUGGAGGACCGAACCGACUAAUGUUGAAAAAUUAGCGGAUGACCUGUGGCUGGGGGUGAAAGGCCAAUCAAACCGGGAGAUAGCUGGUUCUCCCCGAAAGCUAUUUAGGUAGCGCCUCGUGAAUUCAUCUCCGGGGGUAGAGCACUGUUUCGGCUAGGGGGCCAUCCCGGCUUACCAACCCGAUGCAAACUGCGAAUACCGGAGAAUGUUAUCACGGGAGACACACGGCGGGUGCUAACGUCCGUCGUGAAGAGGGAAACAACCCAGACCGCCAGCUAAGGUCCCAAAGUCAUGGUUAAGUGGGAAACGAUGUGGGAAGGCCCAGACAGCCAGGAUGUUGGCUUAGAAGCAGCCAUCAUUUAAAGAAAGCGUAAUAGCUCACUGGUCGAGUCGGCCUGCGCGGAAGAUGUAACGGGGCUAAACCAU